RNAcentral lists this ribosomal RNA (271 nucleotides) under uncultured Anaerolineaceae bacterium. RNAcentral's name for it is "partial 16S ribosomal RNA". It matches the Rfam family "Bacterial small subunit ribosomal RNA", at positions 1096 to 1382 of the family's 1533-position model. Lineage: Bacteria; Bacillati; Chloroflexota; Anaerolineae; Anaerolineales; Anaerolineaceae. The record is from RNAcentral.
GCGCAACCCUCGUCGUAUGUUAUAUGUGUCAUACGAGACUGCCGGUAAAAGCCGGAGGAAGGUGAGGAUGAUGUCAAGUCAGCAUGACCUUUAUAUCCAGGGCUACACACACGCUACAAUGGUCUGUACAAUGGGUAGCCAAGCCGCGAGGCGGAGCCAAUCCUGAAAGCAGGCCUCAGUUCAGAUUGCAGUCUGCAACUCGACUGCAUGAAGCCGGAGUUGCUAGUAACCGCAGGUCAGCAAUACUGCGGUGAAUACGUUCCCGGGUCUU